Molecule: long non-coding RNA, 4005 nt
Organism: Acanthopagrus latus (yellowfin seabream)
Lineage: Eukaryota; Metazoa; Chordata; Actinopteri; Spariformes; Sparidae
Exons: 4
Source: RefSeq, a predicted model, not a curated record
UCCAGAAAUCAAGGUUGAACUAAUUUCAAAUGAAAAGGAAUUUAUUUGAAUGAAUUUGAUUGAUGGCCCCCAGCCAUUCACAUGGACUGUCAUUUGUUCAUGGACAUCUUGAUAUUGAUUUGGGGAUGUUGGCUAGACAACAUACGAUUUGUCAAUAUUACUGACUUUGAAUCACACUAGCAUAACAUUAGCUUUCUGGCUAAUAGCUGUACUAGUUUAAGUCCCAUUGCUAAGGCAUUUCUUAGGUUUGUCCUAUUUACUGGACUAGUGAACAACACUUUUUUGCAUAAGAAUCUUAUGCGACUGUAUUAACUGUUCCAGCUAUUAGUCAAACACUCUGGUGUUGCCAAGGAAACUGAGCUAUUGCUUGUGAAAAACGUUUUGAUUUGAUCACAAAUUAGUGUUCUUGUUUAUUAUCAUUCUACACCUGAGCAUAAGAAAGGCUCAGAUGUAGUGUGUAAAGAUUGUUUAUUUGAUAUCCCAUAGCUACAGUCCUGUCCAGAACUAUUGGAACAGCAAGGCUAUACACUGAAAACAUUUGGCUUUAACAACAAAAAAUGAAUCUGACACAAGAGAUCAGUACGUCUGGUUCCAUUUCCAGUUUCAGCUUUGGGUUUUGCCUUUGCUGACUUCAUUUAUCCUUAAAAAACCAACCAACCAACCAACCAACCAGCAUGAAGACCACAGAGCUGUCUACAGGAGAAAAGCAAGCAAUAUAUUGAAGCUGAGAGAAGAUGGAAAAUCAAUCAGAGCCAUUGCACAAACAUUGGCCAUAGCCAAAAAAGAAACCGCUGAUAUACUCAGCAACAGAUGUCGAACUGGUAGAAAAAGGAAAACAUCAGCGGGUGACGACGAAACAAUGUGAGAGCUGUAAAGACAAACCCAGAAACAACUGUCAGUGACUUCACCAACGACAUCCAGAGGGCAGGAGUGAAGCUUCGUCUGCGUUCACACCGACUAUGCGGCAGUUAGCUGGAGCUGCUCUGACCCACAAAUACCGAACCGCCUCAGCAGAACUGUCAGUGUUGGACCAGCAGCCGAGCCACUCUCAGAGGUGAGCACUAGCCUCCCUCGGUCACCAGCCCACUGCGGUGUUUUCGUACCUUCACGUCGCCGGCUAACGACACCACCGCACCUGGGCUGCUCCUCCACCGUGUCACCGUGAGGCUGCGUGUGAACACCUACCUCCUCCUCCUUCUCCUCCUGUCUACGACCGCCCGUGUCCUCAAGUUUGUCAUUGCACUUGACACCGUCGCCUUCUUCUUCUUCUUCUUCUUCUCCCUCUUCUUCUUCUUCUUCUACUUCACACUGUCGCCAUUUUGCUUUUAAAAAAUCAUCGCAGGUUGAGCUGUGGUCCGGAGGAGAGAGAGUGGAGAUGUACAGAGGAGUGAGCGUCACCCUGAAGUGCACACGGAACCCCGAGGUCCAGUGUCGCCCCCCCGGUCCAGAACACACACACACACACACACACACACACAUACACACCUGGACCAGCUCACCUAUAGAACAGUGUAGAACAGUUAAGUUGGAGGAAAAAUAUCACAGCACAGCAUUUCUUUUUUUUCUUUUUUUUCUGUUUGUGAACCAGGUGCAUGACUUAAAGUGUGUGUGACAUUUAUCCUCAUUAACAUUAAAGGAUAAAUUCACCCCAAAAUGAAAAAUUAAGUAUUAUUGUCAACGACUUAUCAGUAAAAAGUUUCCCAGCAAAACACUCCUGAAAAAACAAAAAAAAACAAAAAAAACAUAAUGAUAAUAAUAAAGUGUUGUCUUUAAUAAUUGCAGUAGAUGGGGACUUUAAAAAACUACUGGAAAGAAACAUAAAAUGAUGUAAUCCAGGUCUCACAAGUCCAAAAAUGUAUUUGAAAAGAUGUUAUUUACACCCUCAAUUUACAUUUGAGCUUGUCGACCUGAUGGACCUAUAACUAGCGGACACAGUCCUCCAGGUUGUUCUUAUUAAAGCUGCUCCGAGAUGCUUGAAACCUUCUUCCACAUGCUAACUAGAGCCGGCUAACUUCCUUUUUAGCACCCGGCUAACUUGAAUGCAGAUAAAAUAAUUAUAUUGUGAGGCUCUUCUAGACUUUCCUCAUGUUAUUGGACCGAAUGGCUCAAACUCUGAAAGUGAAACGCGUCAUUUUGAGUGGAUUGUGAUGCUAAAAAAAGUGUAUCCACCGUCCAAAUCAAGUCUUCUCAAAUCAAUUUUGGACCUGGUUGGAUGGCUGUAGCUCAGGGGUAAAGCCAGUGUGUCCUUAUCUGAAGAUUGCUGGUUCAAUUCCCCUUUGGGCAAAAUGCUGAACCCCAAACCUGCUCUUGAUGCGCUGGUCAGCACCUCGCAUGGCAGCAACUAAGUUGCUUUGGACAAAAGCGUCUGAUAAAUAUAAAUCUCUGGGCUUCUUGGAUUACAUCAAACGAGCCAUCUUUGUGAGUUUCAUGUUUUAAAACGAGUCCCCAUCUACUUCAGUUCUUGCUGCUGAGCCCCAGAAAUGUUCUGACGGACUCGGAAACUUCACCUGACUGAAUCAGCAUGAAGUGAUCAGACAAAACAUUUUUAUUUUUGGGAGAACUUAUCCUUUAAAUCUUUAAAUUUAAACUGGCAAAUAAUUUAUUGACCAGAGACACACACACACGCACACAUGGCCUAAUAAACGGUCAUGUAAACAGUACAUUUAAUGUAUUUUAUCUAUUAUUUAAUGAGCUUGGCCUGUUUAUCUCUGCAAUAAGGGAGGAAUCCUGUGGGUUAAUUUAACAAACCACUGCAGUGUAUUCACUCUGUAACUCGGACUACGAGCAGCACAGGACCGACAGGGUUAAAUCUGUCUUAUGUGACCAUGAGCUGAAUAUGAAAAUGGUUGUAAUGACAGUUUCACUGGGGGAAAAUACUCUACUGUUGUAUAUUUAAUGUUCAAUUGCUCUUGUACCAGUAAAGCAGUGAGCUUUAACCCUCAUUUGAAUUGUAGAAUAAUGAUGCAGAAUGCAUGCUGGGGAUGCAUUAUUAAUACUGUUGCAUGUUUUUUUUCUCGCCCAAGUUGCUGUAUUUCAAUGAUUCGACAGGAAAACCAUCAGGCGUUCAAAACCUCAUGAGUCAGGGGUAAGAAACCGUGUCAUCAGCAAUGUGUUUUACAUCAGGUGUUAUUUAUUACACUGAUCGCUCCUCUUUGUGCUGUUUUUUUUUAUUUCUUUACUGUAGCCUCCUUAACAUGAUUCCCAUCAAACUUUCCAGGAACACAAGCUUUAACGUGGUUAACUUCAUUUCUGAUCAUAACAAAGAUGACCUGAUGUGUGUUAAUUCACCUUCUGGUGCUUCUCAGACAUCCAAACCGACUGAAUCAAGUUUAUAUGCAAUUUCUUUUUUACAUAAAAGAUUAAACUGACGCCUAGUGUAGGGAAAUAUAUAUUGCCAAAAAUUCAACUUAAAGGAUGAAUUCACCAAGAGAUAAGAAAUUCAGUCAUUAUCUGCUCAUGCCAGUCGGAAAUGGGGAGAAGAAGAGAAAAUAUUGUUGGAGUUUCACAGUAAAACAACUUUGCAGCAUGCAACCAAACAACUCAAGCAGAUGACAACAACCCAAAAACAUUAUGUAUCGCUCCAUACAGCUUGUCAGGUAUUAUCCAAGUCUCUGGAAGCAUGAAAAUGUGUUAUUUUCACCCUUUUCUUGAGCAUAAAUUGUCACUUUAGCUGCUCAGCAAGCUCAACAGCACGUCAAAGGUUUAAUGUCGCCUUUCAAAUCAGUUUGGGAUCACAGUGUUUCUGUAUAGAGGCGUUAUAAGGCUGUUUUUUGACGUUUUAAAACAAAUCCCCAUCUACUUCAGUUCUUCAGGAAAAUGCUGCGACGCUGUUUAAGAAACUUCACCUGACUCUCCAUCGGCGUAGCUUUCUUGCUCAGCGCGUCGAGGAAGCCACGGCCUGUGUGUGGUGAUUGGAGUGGUAAUUCUCAUUUUCACACACACACACACACACACACACACAUGAAAUAUUGAUUGGAUUAAGCAAACAACUAACAGAUCUUUGGA